This 391-nucleotide unclassified non-coding RNA is filed under the name soil metagenome. RNAcentral's name for it is "partial contains 5.8S ribosomal RNA, internal transcribed spacer 2, and large subunit ribosomal RNA". The stretch from base 1 to 122 matches the Rfam family "5.8S ribosomal RNA", at positions 35 to 154 of the family's 154-position model. The record is from RNAcentral.
GAUGAAGAACGUAGCGAAAUGCGAUACUUGGUGUGAAUUGCAGAAUCCCGUGAACCAUCGAGUCUUUGAACGCAAGUUGCGCCCGAAGCCAUUAGGCCGAGGGCACGCCUGCCUGGGCGUCACACGUCGUUGCCCCCCCAUCUACUCCUUCGGGAUUGCGGGGGGCGGAUGAUGGCCUCCCGUGCGCCUCGCCGCGCGGUUGGCAUAAAUGCCAAGUCCUCGGCGACGCACGCCACGACAAUCGGUGGUUGCGAAACCUCGGUUGCCCGUCGUGUGCGGUCGUCGCGCAUCGAGGGCUCGAAAAAAUUGCCGGGUUCCGGCUCGGCUUUCAACGCGACCCUAGGUCAGGCGGGGUUACCCGCUGAAUUUAAGCAUAUCAAUAAGCGGAGGA